RNAcentral lists this ribosomal RNA (515 nucleotides) under uncultured Bacillota bacterium. RNAcentral describes it as "bacterial SSU rRNA". It matches the Rfam family "Bacterial small subunit ribosomal RNA", at positions 390 to 896 of the family's 1533-position model. The record is from RNAcentral. Lineage: Bacteria; Bacillati; Bacillota.
AGCAACGCCGCGUGAGUGAAGAAGGUUUUCGGAUCGUAAAACUCUGUUGUAAGGGAAGAACAAGUACAGUAGUAACUGGCUGUACCUUGACGGUACCUUAUUAGAAAGCCACGGCUAACUACGUGCCAGCAGCCGCGGUAAUACGUAGGUGGCAAGCGUUGUCCGGAAUUAUUGGGCGUAAAGGGCUCGCAGGCGGUUUCUUAAGCCUGAUGUGAAAGCCCCCGGCUCAACCGGGGAGGGUCAUUGGAAACUGGGAAACUUGAGUGCAGAAGAGGAGAGUGGAAUUCCACGUGUAGCGGUGAAAUGCGUAGAGAUGUGGAGGAACACCAGUGGCGAAGGCGACUCUCUGGUCUGUAACUGACGCUGAGGAGCGAAAGCGUGGGGAGCGAACAGGAUUAGAUACCCUGGUAGUCCACGCCGUAAACGAUGAGUGCUAAGUGUUAGGGGGUUUCCGCCCCUUAGUGCUGCAGCUAACGCAUUAAGCACUCCGCCUGGGGAGUACGGUCGCAAGACUG